Molecule: long non-coding RNA, 3253 nt
Organism: Pygocentrus nattereri (red-bellied piranha)
Lineage: Eukaryota; Metazoa; Chordata; Actinopteri; Characiformes; Serrasalmidae
Source: Ensembl
GUCAGUCUAAAUAGGAAAUCAAUCAACAUCCUGUAAGAAUCUAAAAUAAAGUGGGGGAUGGGAGUGGGAGGAACACAGAAGGGCAUUUUUUUUCUCAACUUUUGCAUUGCUCAGUCUUCCUCUGACACAGCCAUAAGCCAGCAAACACGAUCUACAAAAGGAAUUUACGGUCAACACUGAAACCGGAACCUUAAAGCUAGGAAAUGUUUCUUCCGGGCAUAUUUACCACAGUAGCGGAUAUAUAAAAAUUUGACGAGGACCUUGCACCAAGAUGCCAGAGACUGUCCUUGGCUUAGCCUGUCUCCUGCUUUGUACCAGUGUUCUCCAAAUCGGUUCAUCAGAAAGCUGCAAACUCAAAGUGAAGAUGCUGAAUAACACGGUCCACCAAGUCUCAUGCUUCAACAAAAUGCGUGGAGAAGAAUGUGCGAUCGGUCGCACGACCAGCUACUGUAACAUCGAGGAAAAAAACGGACAUAUAUGCAUCAAAUGGACUGAUGCCGAUAUGACGUGCAGGAAAAUGGAUCAAGAGCUUUCAAAAGUCCCCCUUGAGAACGGAAAAUGUGCUCAGGAUCAAGAGAGUUUGGACUGCAUCAGAGAGUUUACAGACCCUGGUGAUGCAAAGAAUAAUGCGCUCCAUGUGACCACAUGCCUAGAAGGUCUACAUCUGAUGCUUCUUCCUCUUUUUUUUUUUUGUUUAAGUAAGUUUUGUUUCAGUGUUUAAGUGCAGCUGUACUUUAUUGAAAUCUUUCCAUGUUUACUCUCACACCACUACAUUUCAAAGUCAAAAAUCUUUUUCCCUUUUUUUUUACUCCAGAACAUUAUGCAAAAAUCUAAGUUUGUGCUUUGUUUUGUGAAAUUUUGGCAUUAUCUAUUCAACAUAAAUAUUUUUCUUAAUUAUAAAACACUAUUUCAUUUUCUAGUAAAUUUGUUUAGGCUAGUUUAUGUUUAUAUACAGAACCCUACAGAUCAAUAUACUAAAGGAAAUCUCAUUUGAAGUAGGUUGUUAUUAAACUUAAACUUGUAACAAUAAAUUGCAAUAAAGUGCAAUAAAAACUUAAACUGAAACUUGUUUGUUAAAAGUGAUGGAAACUGUUUACCUUCAGUGUUUUGUGCUUAUGAUCAUUUUAAUACACGUCAGCUUCACUAAUUAAUGACGUUCUAUUAAAAGACUGGUUUACCAAGAGAGACGCUGGAGGAUUUUCACCUAAAAUGAAUUCAUGAAGCCAGUCUUGUUACAAAAAUAGUAAUGGGACAUGAAGGUUAAUCUUUUAGUACUUUUACUUCAGUACAUUUGAAGGGAAAUACUUUUGUACUUUUACUCAAGUGGAGGUCUAAAGGGAGGAACUUCUACUGGAGUAGUGUUUUACUUUGGGUGUCUCUGCUUUAACUCAAGUACAUGAAGUGUGUACUUCUUCCACCACUGAUAAUCAAGUCAUAAUCAUCAAUCACGAUAACAAUCAUGUCAUUUAAAAAUGACCGACUCAUUCUGCAGAUUUUACCAAAUUUGAGCAAUUAAAAUGUAAACAAUUCAGAGACGUUGAGGGUGGUCUGAGGUCAAACGUUGCAUUCUAGGUAAGUUUAAUGUAGCUAGUGUCCGGCUAGCGGCUCGUCCUGCCGCAGACGAGCGAAAGGCGACCCGUGAGCGCUGAGCAGCACAGGUAGCUUUAGCUACCCGCCGUAUCAGUGAGAGACGUAAACACAUGUACCCAGUUGUGGGCUGGGAGCUGUGUAGACUCUUGUAUCGGUCUGUUGGGCUGGUUGGUGGGGUUUAGCGUCGUGUGUGGCUCUUGCUGACCUGUCCUGCUGCGGAACGCAGAUAAGAGAUCGAUCAACGCGCUAAGGUUCCCACCUUCUGCUUCUCCUACACCGACUCUAGACUGGUAGCGACAGAAACCAAACAAUUUACACACAAUGCAUUUAAAGGAAUAAUUCGGCGAAAUGUCACAUUCGCUCGACUUACAUCAGAAGCUGUCGAUCAGCCAAGACAGUUGAUCCCCGAGCUCUGCUCUAGUGUACAGCGGGAGACGCUAGGCUAACACUGCUAACAAGCGCUAAUGCUGGAUUGUCACUAAACUCAACCCCGUAAAUAUAUGCCCCCGAAACGUCCUUCAACCCGCUCAAAUCACAUCUUAAUUUGUUUCACAGAGACACGCUGAAGAGGUUUAAAGCACAGUAUGUACUUAUUUUAGUCUUUAAAAACAAAAACCUCUCAGCAAAAGUGGACAGUGAGUAAGUAACCGGAGCCACUGUUGCCUCAGUGCAAUAUGUGGUAUCAUUCCGCAGCGGAAGGCGAACGCGACAGGGGAACUGAGCUUUUGUGCGUUUGAGAUGAAAGCAAGUGGUCCUCUUUCACCAAUAACUUCUUAUACAAAGCGGGCGUUAAUAAGGGCUAUAUGUACCGGAAGCUAGCGCAUGAAUGUACGCAAUAUCUUCCACUCAGUGGUGAACAAACCUUAUUUUUACUCCGAUUUACCUCAAUUUUAGCAUUUUCAGCAUUACAUGUAAAACCGAAGACACUGGUUGCAUUGCAGUCAUCUCAAGCCCUGGUUCCCGUCAUCACCACUGUAGAGAAAUCUGAGUCUAUAAGUUUAUCUAGUGAACCAUUUCACAUCAGACCACUCUGAAUGACUUUGUUAGCACGUUAACGAUUUCCUUAUACAGCAAUUUUGAAAAAUCGGUGUAGUUUCCUUUCAAGCCAUGCCUUAAUACUUAAUACUUAAUAUAGAUACUUAUAGAUACAUAUGCUUUUUGACUUUCACUGACAUUCAAGUAUAUUUUUUAUUUUUAUAUUUUUUCUAUACUUCUGCUUUCAUUUUGGCACAGUCCUCAAACCUUUAUUUAAGUAUAGUUUUUCAGUGUUUUUUCCACCCCUGGCAGUGAGAAGAGUAGAGAAGAAAUGUGUCAUCAGAUUGUCUUUUUUUUUCCACACUGAUGAAUUAACAAGUGAACUCUAAGAGACCAGUCUAAUUGUCAACACACUGUGUCUUGACAUUUGUUUACUAUCCAUAUUCUCUUAAGUGAGAAGAGGUCUGAAAAAAUUUCAUAUUUUCAUGUUUUUUUGUUAAUAUUAUUCUGUUUUCAUAAGCAUUUACCACAGUACCUUCUGUAAGCUGAUUUUCUUUGCUGACUCAUCUGUUACUGGUGUUUGUCUGUUUCCAUUACAAAUACAAAUGUAUCAGUUCCUUUUAAGUGUGUCAUUCCACUGUUUUUUAAGUGUGUCAUUCCACUGUUCCAUUCCAAUGUUGCACCCUCC